GCCUGAUGCAGCGACGCCGCGUGAGGGAUGACGGCCUUCGGGUUGUAAACCUCUUUCAGCAGGGAAGAAGCGAAAGUGACGGUACCUGCAGAAGAAGCGCCGGCUAACUACGUGCCAGCAGCCGCGGUAAUACGUAGGGCGCGAGCGUUGUCCGGAAUUAUUGGGCGUAAAGAGCUCGUAGGCGGCUUGUCACGUCGGUUGUGAAAGCCCGGGGCUUAACCCCGGGUCUGCAGUCGAUACGGGCAGGCUAGAGUUCGGUAGGGGAGAUCGGAAUUCCUGGUGUAGCGGUGAAAUGCGCAGAUAUCAGGAGGAACACCGGUGGCGAAGGCGGAUCUCUGGGCCGAUACUGACGCUGAGGAGCGAAAGCGUGGGGAGCGAACAGGAUUAGAUACCCUGGUAGUCCACGCCGUAAACGGUGGGAACUAGGUGUUGGCGACAUUCCACGUCGUCGGUGCCGCAGCUAACGCAUUAAGUUCCCCGCCUGGGGAGUACGGCCGCAAGGCUAAAACUCAAA
RNAcentral lists this ribosomal RNA (514 nucleotides) under Streptomyces alanosinicus. RNAcentral's name for it is "bacterial SSU rRNA". It matches the Rfam family "Bacterial small subunit ribosomal RNA", at positions 381 to 905 of the family's 1533-position model. The record is from RNAcentral. Lineage: Bacteria; Bacillati; Actinomycetota; Actinomycetes; Kitasatosporales; Streptomycetaceae.